This 376-nucleotide ribosomal RNA is filed under the name uncultured bacterium. RNAcentral describes it as "bacterial SSU rRNA". It matches the Rfam family "Bacterial small subunit ribosomal RNA", at positions 524 to 898 of the family's 1533-position model. The record is from RNAcentral.
AACGUAGGAGGCUAGCGUUAUCCGGAUUUAUUGGGCGUAAAGCGCGUGCAGGCGGUUUGAUAAGUUGGAUGUGAAAUCUCCCGGCUUAACUGGGAGCGGUCGUUCAAAACUAUCAGACUAGAGAAUGGGAGAGGAAGGUGGAAUUCCGGGUGUAGUGGUGAAAUGCGUAGAUAUCCGGAGGAACACCAGUGGCGAAAGCGGCCUUCUAGACCAUUUCUGACGCUAAGACGCGAAAGCUAGGGUAGCAAACGGGAUUAGAGACCCCGGUAGUCCUAGCUGUAAACGAUGUAGACUUGGCGUUGGCGGAGUUAAAUCUGCCAGUGCCGAAGCUAACGCGUGAAGUCUACCGCCUGGGGACUACGACCGCAAGGUUAAA